Populus trichocarpa (black cottonwood) is the source of this 155-nucleotide non-coding RNA. The record is from Rfam. Lineage: Eukaryota; Viridiplantae; Streptophyta; Magnoliopsida; Malpighiales; Salicaceae.
UUUAGAAAUCGAGAUACGGGUUGAAUAUCGAAUAGUGUCUAAGUAGCAGGACAAAUUCAGACUUCUUUUUGUUGCUAAGAUUUGAAUUUGAAAAUGAUAGUUUUGAAUCUUGAACUCUUCAUGAAUGUUUUAAGCUUAUGUCUUAGCUUUCUAUC